CCUACGGGGUGCUGCAGUGAGGAAUAUUGGUCAAUGGGCGGGAGCCUGAACCAGCCAAGUCGCGUGAGGGAAGACGGUCCUACGGAUUGUAAACCUCUUUUGCCGGGGAGCAACGGGGUCCUUGCGAGGGCCCGAUGAGAGUACCCGGAGAAAAAGCAUCGGCUAACUCCGUGCCAGCAGCCGCGGUAAUACGGAGGAUGCGAGCGUUAUCCGGAUUUAUUGGGUUUAAAGGGUGCGCAGGCGGAAUGUCAAGUCAGCGGUAAAAUUUCGGGGCUCAACCCCGUCGUGCCGUUGAAACUGGCGUUCUUGAGUGAGCGAGAAGUAUGCGGAAUGCGUGGUGUAGCGGUGAAAUGCAUAGAUAUCACGCAGAACUCCGAUUGCGAAGGCAGCAUACCGGCGCUCAACUGACGCUCAUGCACGAAAGCGUGGGUAUCGAACAGGAUUAGAUACCCUUGUAGUC
RNAcentral lists this ribosomal RNA (460 nucleotides) under uncultured bacterium. RNAcentral's name for it is "partial 16S ribosomal RNA". It matches the Rfam family "Bacterial small subunit ribosomal RNA", at positions 338 to 795 of the family's 1533-position model. The record is from RNAcentral.